This 346-nucleotide small nuclear RNA is filed under the name Jaculus jaculus (lesser Egyptian jerboa). RNAcentral describes it as "7SK RNA (ENSJJAG00000001831.1)". The stretch from base 1 to 306 matches the Rfam family "7SK RNA". Rfam says of the family: 7SK was discovered as an abundant small nuclear RNA in the mid-70s but a possible function has only recently been suggested. Two independent studies have found that 7SK RNA binds the CDK9/cyclin T complex (known as elongation factor P-TEFb). P-TEFb activates transcription by phosphorylating the C-terminal domain of RNA polymerase II. Lineage: Eukaryota; Metazoa; Chordata; Mammalia; Rodentia; Dipodidae. The record is from RNAcentral.
GGAUGUGAGGGCGAUCUGGCUCCGACAUCUGCCACCCCAUUGAUCACCGGGGUUGACUCGGCUGAUCUGCCUGGCUAGGCAGGCGUCCUCUGGUUCCUUCACCGCUCAUGUGUGUCGCUCCGUGAACGUCCCUCCAGAGGCAGCUGCACUGGGUCAUUGGAGGAGGACGGGUCUGCGGUCAAGGGUAAGCGAGUGGCUGUGCCCUCUUGCUGGAACCUCCGAACAAGCUCUCAGCUCCUUUUUUUUUUUUAAAUUAAUUAAUUUAUUUAUUUGAGAGCGACAGACACAGAGAGAAAGACAGAUAGAGGGAGAGAGAGAGAGUGGGCGCGCCAGGGCUUCCAGCCUC